UGGGGAAUAUUGCACAAUGGGCGAAAGCCUGAUGCAGCAACGCCGCGUGAGGGAAGAAGGUCUUCGGAUUGUAAACCUUUGUCCUAAGUGAAGAAACAAAUGACGGUAGCUUAGGAGGAAGCCACGGCUAACUACGUGCCAGCAGCCGCGGUAAUACGUAGGUGGCAAGCGUUGUCCGGAUUUACUGGGUGUAAAGGGUGCGCAGGCGGGACUGCAAGUUGGAUGUGAAAUACCGGGGCUUAACUUCGGAGCUGCAUCCAAAACUGUGGUUCUUGAGAGAUGUAGAGGUAAGCGGAAUUCCGAGUGUAGCGGUGAAAUGCGUAGAUAUUCGGAGGAACACCAGUGGCGAAGGCGGCUUACUGGGCAUUUUCUGACGCUGAGGCACGAAAGUGUGGGGAGCAAACAGG
Molecule: ribosomal RNA, 407 nt
Filed under: uncultured bacterium
Lineage: Bacteria
Also listed under: 1 other name
Description: bacterial SSU rRNA
Rfam family: Bacterial small subunit ribosomal RNA
Source: RNAcentral